AAUCUUACGUGCUUUCCUUUAGUCAAGACACUGUCUACUAAAAAUGCUUAACUUACUCUCAGUAGAUGUAUUAUCAUUUUAAUUAAUUGUACUUCUUCAGGAGUGCGAUGGAGCCACACAUGGGCAUCUAAUACCAGAGACAAUUCAGGAGCUCAUGAUAAUCUAAGGCUAAUGCUACCUUGAAUGCUUGCAUGGUUGAAGUUACACUGCAAAUGAUCAGUUCAAAUCUAAGAUCAUUUAAACACCAUCAUUUCAUUGUGAAAUGGGAAUGGAACUCCUCCAAAUGAAUAAGGAGCCUAGCAGCAAACAUGCCAAUGUGGUGCACUUGUGUGAGCCUGAGCAAGAAAGCUGGUUGUUGAACCAAAAAUCAGGCCAGUCUACUUAUUAGGAUUAAAGAUAUGUUUAAGGAUGAAAGUGGUUAUUGAAGGAGGGAAUUCUUGGCUAUUACAAAUGAUGUGGAGAUUUUCUUGGCCUUUGGAAAGUGCAUUCUUGCUUCGAAGCCGAGCUCUAUUUUGAAUGAGUUAAGCUUGAAUUUUGUAGAAUAAAGAACCAAGCUAUAAACCGUGCAUGCAGCUUAAGGGAGGGGUAAGGAGGAGAUGAACAUGAGAGACCCCUGAACUAGUGUGGAUCUACAUGACAGUCCAUACAUGUGAAUGUGCUGCAUCACUCUUCCAUCAAGCUUUCCUCUCCUCCCACUCAUAACAAUAAAGGCAACAUGAACAAUGUGAAAGCUUCUGUUUGCUCCCAUAAUUCCUUUUCCAUUCUCAACUAAUGAUAAACAAAAACUAUGCCAUGAUGUUGGUGAGCUAUAUCACGCAUCCAUCUCUCACUUCUCAUAUUAAAGGAACGGACUAAAGGAGGGAAGCGAUGACUGAUGAUAGCAAGCAUCCCCACGAUGGAGAAUGACCAUAGAAAGAUCUUUCCACAUUGAGGAAAGAUCUCUCGAUUUGCAUUAGGAAGUGGACACUUAGAAUGCCUAAGAUGAGAAGCAACAAUAGCCGGUGAAUGCCAACACUCAAAGAAUCGAAGCAUCUAUGAACAAGCCUAUUGGAUAUCCUUGGCGACCAUCUAUCUUAUGGACAUGUCUUUGUGGAGCUGUCUCACCUAUGUCCUUUGGGAAGUUGAGUACAUAGUCUAUGAUCUGUAAAUACUUUCGGAGAGCUAACGUAUCUAUAUCAAGUUGAAAGACAAACCAAUGCUACAAACCUUACCACAUAAGUGGCAAUAAAUGCGAGUGGCAAGCUGCUGCUAGUUCACAAGAUUCUUCUGUCGGUUAUAAAUGGAGGGUUAGAGAGCACUGAUUGUUUUUCAGGCACCUGACUUGUCAAUGACAUUGAAUUUGUAAUCUUUCUUUUCCAUGGAGUUGAUGUUUACGAAUGUUAAAUUAAGCCAAAUGCAAAUGUAGACCAUGUGUAAUUUGUACAUGGAUCAGAUGAUGUUUAUCUUUCCAUAAACUUCUUUUUUUUUCUUCCAAAUCUAUAAAUAUGGACAUACCAAUUUGACUAGGACGAAAGUAAUAGUUAAAUUUGUGAAUGCGGCGCCAUGGGAACUUGUACAAACAGCAUAGCUGAACUAUGGCACAAUAAUAACUUGGAUUAAGUAGCUGAGAUAUGGCUCUGCAAGAUGGUAUGCUGAUGGCGGUUAAGAUAGGCUUGGUGGGUAAUGUCUUAGUUUUAUUCAAGCUUUAAGGUAAGUGUGGGUAUGGGAUG
Magnolia sinica is the source of this 1709-nucleotide long non-coding RNA. RefSeq lists it as uncharacterized. Lineage: Eukaryota; Viridiplantae; Streptophyta; Magnoliopsida; Magnoliales; Magnoliaceae. The record is from RefSeq and is a predicted model, not a curated record. The transcript is spliced from 7 exons.